AACGAACGUUUUCAGUGUUGUAAUCUCUGAAUCUGACCAAUAAAUAGUCCUAAGAUUUUUCAUAACCCAAUUCGGCCUUGACUUUAGCAGAGUCUGACUAUAUGCCUUCCAUCUCCCUAUGCCUUUUCUGUGGCAUCCACAAAUGCUUUCUCGGAGCGAUAACCAAUAUGCUGCCUUUUCUGGUGGCAGUUCCUCGUCCCAGCCAAUUUUAUUUUUCCACAGCUGCUGAAUAAAGACCUUCGCUGCUGACACCACAGGGCCUACAAUUCCUAAGGAGUCGAAGAAUCUUGCCGAAUCAGA
Long non-coding RNA from Musca domestica (house fly), 300 nucleotides. RefSeq lists it as uncharacterized. Lineage: Eukaryota; Metazoa; Arthropoda; Insecta; Diptera; Muscidae. The transcript is spliced from 3 exons. The record is from RefSeq and is a predicted model, not a curated record.